AACGUGCCUAUUAGUGGGGGAUAACUGUGGGAAACUGCAGCUAAUACCGCAUAAGAUCUACGGAUGAAAAGUCGCUCGCAAGGGCGAUUGCUAAUAGAUCGGCCCAUGUCCCAUUAGCUUGUUGGUAGGGUAAAAGCCCACCAAGGCAUCGACGGGUAGCUGGUCUUAGAGGACGACCAGCCACACUGGAACUGAGACACGGUCCAGACACCUACGGGUGGCAGCAGUCGAGAAUCUUUCACAAUGGGGGCAACCCUGAUGGAGCGACGCCGCGUGGAG
RNAcentral lists this ribosomal RNA (279 nucleotides) under uncultured bacterium. RNAcentral's name for it is "partial 16S ribosomal RNA". It matches the Rfam family "Bacterial small subunit ribosomal RNA", at positions 123 to 406 of the family's 1533-position model. The record is from RNAcentral.